GCCGCAAUAGCUCAGUCGGUAGAGCGCAUCCCUCGUAACGAUGAGGUCACGGGUUCGAUUCCCGUUUGCGGCU
RNAcentral lists this transfer RNA (73 nucleotides) under Bifidobacteriaceae bacterium. RNAcentral describes it as "tRNA-Thr". It matches the Rfam family "tRNA". From Rfam's summary of the family: Transfer RNA (tRNA) molecules are approximately 80 nucleotides in length. Their secondary structure includes four short double-helical elements and three loops (D, anti-codon, and T loops). Lineage: Bacteria; Bacillati; Actinomycetota; Actinomycetes; Bifidobacteriales; Bifidobacteriaceae. The record is from RNAcentral.